UCCUACGGGAGGCAGCAGUGGGGAAUAUUGGACAAUGGGCGAAAGCCUGAUCCAGCCAUGCCGCGUGUGUGAAGAAGGUCUUCGGAUUGUAAAGCACUUUAAGUUGGGAGGAAGGGCAGUAAGUUAAUACCUUGCUGUUUGACGUACCGACAGA
Molecule: ribosomal RNA, 154 nt
Filed under: Pseudomonas sp. NA333
Lineage: Bacteria; Pseudomonadati; Pseudomonadota; Gammaproteobacteria; Pseudomonadales; Pseudomonadaceae
Also listed under: 1 other name
Description: partial 16S ribosomal RNA
Rfam family: Bacterial small subunit ribosomal RNA
Source: RNAcentral